RNAcentral lists this ribosomal RNA (491 nucleotides) under uncultured bacterium. Its description in RNAcentral is "bacterial SSU rRNA". It matches the Rfam family "Bacterial small subunit ribosomal RNA", at positions 29 to 509 of the family's 1533-position model. The record is from RNAcentral.
AGUGAACGCUGGCGGCAGGCCUAAUACAUGCAAGUCGAACGGCAGCACAGCAGAGCUUGCUCUGUGGGUGGCGAGUGGCGGACGGGUGAGGAAUACAUGGGAAUCUGCCCAGUCGUGGGGGAUAACGUAUGGAAACGUACGCUAAUACCGCAUGCGCCCUACGGGGGAAAGCCGGGGACCGCAAGGCCUGGCGCGAUUGGAUGAGCCCAUGUUCGAUUAGCUAGUUGGCGGGGUAAAGGCCCACCAAGGCGACGAUCGAUAGCUGGUCUGAGAGGAUGAUCAGCCACACUGGAACUGAGACACGGUCCAGACUCCUACGGGAGGCAGCAGUAGGGAAUAUUGGACAAUGGGGGCAACCCUGAUCCAGCCAUGCCGCGUGAGUGAAGAAGGCCCUCGGGUUGUAAAGCUCUUUUGUCCGGAAAGAAAGCAAUCGGUUAAUACCCGGUUGUUCUGACGGUACCGGAAGAAUAAGCACCGGCUAACUUCGUGCC